CUGCCUGAUAAAUUAACGUGUACUUGCUCGAAGAGUCUUCUCUCUCUUCUCUUCUGAUAAAAUUUCUCUGAGAGAAUUACUUUUUAUUUGUUUAUAAUUUUGAUCAAUAGAUCGAAUCUUUUGUUCGCUUGGACGAUUAUAUAUGUUUCGCAGUGGCGAUUUUCCUCCGGUUUGUGGAUAUUAAACUUUUGUUUUAAUCACCCUUCCUUUUCGAAAAUCAUCCUCCAAAUCCCUUUCGAUCUUAAAAGAAUCAGUAGUGUUGAAGCUUCCUUUAUAAGUGAGAAGUGUUUCAACGAAGAGUCUGUAAUAGGUUUACUAAAGUUUUCUCUUCGAUUACCACCUCCGGCUAUUUGGCUACCGGUGUUAAGGUCCUUUAACCAUUGACGGUGAAAUAGAGGAAAGAGCAUGAAAGUGGUACUAAGAUCUAAGGAUGGUGGUUUCUCGCUUUUUCUUAACGAUUCUCUCUUUGCCCACACUGCGAAAUAACAGUCCGGCGAGAUCUCCGGUGAAGCUUUCGGUGAUGCACUCAACAACACAUGAACAAGACGCGUGGACAAGAACAAACGCGUGCUUAGGUUUAGUUGUUGUUUUUGGGACUUUAAAUAUGGGCUUUCUGUAAUGGAUAAAAACUUUACCAAACCACUUCUGUUAAGCUUUGGCUUUGAGCCUUCAAUGAUACAUGGUUGACAAAAAUUAACG
This is a long non-coding RNA of Raphanus sativus (radish), 699 nucleotides long. RefSeq lists it as uncharacterized. The transcript has 2 exons. The record is from RefSeq and is a predicted model, not a curated record. NCBI's taxonomy places the organism in Eukaryota, Viridiplantae, Streptophyta, Magnoliopsida, Brassicales, Brassicaceae.